This 32-nucleotide non-coding RNA is filed under the name Rattus norvegicus (Norway rat). The record is from RNAcentral. Lineage: Eukaryota; Metazoa; Chordata; Mammalia; Rodentia; Muridae.
UCCNCUGUGUGGUUUGCCUUAAGUUGUGUAGC